AGGGGCCUGCAACGUAAGGACUUUCCAAGAGUAAUCUUUCAAAUUGAGGGGAAAAGUUUAAAGUUGUUUUUUUUUUGUUUUGUUUUUUGUUUUUUUUGUUUUUUGUUUGGUUUUGGUCUGGUUAUGUUUUAAAGUAAUUUCUUAAGACCAAAGGCUUAUGAGAAGAAAUGAUGUAGCCAGAAUCACAACGCUCUUGCAGGGUGUGGGGGGAUGGGGUACCAGUGUCUUGUGCCUCCUUUCAAGGGAAUCCACACCUUCCAAAGCCUGUUGAAGCCCUCAGCUGGCUUCCUAAGCCCACUGUGUGUUUGGGGUUAUUGUUUUGAGUGUAUUCAACCUUUCCUCAGAUGUCACUGAACUGUGCUUAGACUGGCCUUCAGGGCAUUGACCCGUCAACAAAUAGAUAAUGUUUUAGAAAAAGCUUGAAUUCUGUUCAGUGUUUAGCAAUGAUGAAAACUGAAGUUGGAAAAGGUUGUAAAACCUUUGACUCUCCACGGUAGAGUCUGUUGUUUUUCUGGCUUCCUCAAGUCCUCGCUCACAGGGCUAUUGGCUGCAGAUUGCAAUUACCAUGUCUGACUCAGUAAUUCUUCGCAGUGUGAAGAAAUUUGGAGAAGAGAAUUAUGGUUUUGAGUCAGACAGAUUAUAUAACAAUGAUAAGAAUUCAAGGUUACAAGAUGAGAAAAAAGGUGACAGCACUCAAGUUAGCUUCUUUCAAUUGUUUCGAUUUUCUUCAGCGACUGACAUUUGGCUGAUGUUUGUGGGAAGUUUAUGUGCAUUUCUCCAUGGACUAUCCCAUCCAGCCCUGCUCCUCAUUUUUGGCAGAAUGACAGAUAUUUUUAUUGACUAUGACACUGAAUUACAAGAACUCAAGAUCCCUGGAAAAGCAUGUGUAAACAACACCAUAGUAUGGAUCAACAGCUCCCUUAACCAGAAUAUGACAAAUGGAACGCGUUGUGGGUUGCUGGACAUUGAAAGUGAAAUGAUCAAAUUUGCCAGUUACUAUGCUGGAAUCGCUUUGUCAGUACUCAUCACAGGAUAUAUUCAAAUAUGCUUUUGGGUGAUUGCUGCAGCUCAUCAGAUACAGAAUAUGAGAAAAAUUUCCUUUAGGAAAAUAAUGCGAAUGGAAAUGGGAUGGUUUGACUGCAAUUCCGUGGGAGAGCUGAACACAAGACUUUCCGAUGAUAUUAAUAAAGUCAAUGAUGCCAUUGCUGACCAAGUGGCCAUUUUCAUUCAGCGCAUGACCACAAGCAUCAGUGGGUUCCUGUUGGGAUUUUACCAGGGUUGGAAACUGACCUUGGUUAUUAUCUCUGUCAGCCCUCUUAUUGGGAUUGGAGCAGGCAUCAUUGGUCUGAGUUUGUCCAAGUUUACUGACUAUGAAUUGAAGGCCUAUGCCAAAGCAGGGUCAGUGGCUGAUGAAGUCAUUUCAUCUAUGCGAACAGUGGCUGCUUUUGGUGGUGAGAAAAAAGAGGUUGAAAGAUAUGAGAAAAAUCUUGUGUUUGCCCAGCGUUGGGGAAUUAGAAAAGGGAUAGUGAUGGGAUUCUUUACUGGAUUCAUGUGGUGUCUCAUCUUCUUCUCCUAUGCACUGGCCUUCUGGUAUGGCUCCAAACUUGUCCUCGAUGAUGAAGAAUAUACGGCAGGAACCCUCGUCCAGAUUUUCCUCAGUAUCGUAGUAGGAGCUUUAAAUCUUGGCAAUGCAUCUUCUUGUUUGGAAGCCUUUGCAACUGGGCGUGCAGCGGCCACCAGCAUUUUUCAGACAAUAGACCGGAAACCCAUCAUUGACUGCAUGUCAGAGGAUGGUUACAAGUUGGAUCGAAUUAAGGGUGAAAUUGAAUUCCAUAAUGUGACCUUCCAUUAUCCUUCCAGACCAGAGGUGAAGAUUUUGAAUAACCUCAGCAUGGUCAUUAAAUCAGGGGAAAUGACAGCUGUGGUAGGAUCCAGUGGAGCUGGGAAAAGCACAGCAAUACAGCUCAUUCAGCGUUUCUAUGACCCCAGUGAAGGCAUGGUGACUUUGGAUGGCCAUGACAUCCGCUCUCUUAACAUUCAGUGGCUUAGAGCUCAGAUUGGGAUAGUGGAGCAGGAGCCCGUUCUGUUCUCCACCACCAUUGCAGAGAAUAUUCGCUAUGGCAGAGAAGAUGCAACGAUGGAAGAUAUAGUUCUAGCUGCCAAGGCAGCCAAUGCCUACAACUUCAUCAUGGACCUGCCACAGCAAUUUGACACUCUUGUUGGAGAAGGAGGAGGCCAGAUGAGCGGUGGCCAGAAACAAAGAGUGGCCAUUGCCAGAGCCCUUGUCCGAAACCCUAAGAUCCUGCUCUUGGACAUGGCCACCUCGGCACUGGACAAUGAGAGUGAAGCCAUGGUACAAGAGGCACUGAGUAAGAUUCAGUACAGACAUACAAUCAUUUCAGUUGCUCAUCGCCUAUCCACAAUCAGAGCUGCAGAUGUCAUUAUUGGUUUUGAACAUGGUACAGCUGUGGAAAGAGGCACCCAUGAAGAAUUGAUGGAAAGGAAAGGCGUUUACUUCACUCUAGUGACUUUGCAAAGUCAAGGUGAUCAAGCUGCUAAUGGAGAGGGCAUAAAAGGAGAAGAUGAAACUGAAGACAGCUCAUUUGGUGGCAGACAGACCUUUAGCAGAGAGAGCUACCAGGCUAGUUUAAGAGCUUCAAUCCGGCAACGCUCCAAGUCUCAGCUUUCUUACCUGGUACCUGAACCUCCGUUAGCUGUUGUAGAUCAUAAGUCUACUUAUGAAGAAGACAGAAAGGACAAGGAUAUUCCUGUGGAAGAAGAAAUUGAACCUGCCCCAGUUCGGAGGAUUCUGAGAUUGAAUGCUCCAGAAUGGCCCUACAUGCUGGUAGGGGCUGUGGGUGCCUCUGUCAAUGGUUCAGUCACACCUCUCUAUGCCUUUUUAUUCAGCCAGAUUCUUGGGAAGACAAGAAGGUGAAGCUGAACACUCUCAUUUGGGCUGGCAGGACGCUCAUUCAGGCAUCAUGUCUGCGAAAAACUGCACUAUGGCUGCAAAUUUAGUGUUAGAAGAGGGCAAUUUCCCUAUAUGCAAACAAAAUCAGAAUGCAAAGCAGGUUCGUCGAAUAGUACAAAAGGAUUUUAGGGCCGUUUUGAUCUUGCUGAACAGCUGAGGUGCAGAGUUUGGCUUAUAAAAGCAGGUGUUAGUGCAUGUGUAAUUCUCUUCUCUGCUGAUAGCACCAUUGAAAUGGCAAGGUUGGGGAGGAAAGAGGAAAAGGAGGAGAGAAGUACAAUAAGGCACGGAUAAAGAAUGAGCUUAUUUCAAUUUUCACUUCCUUAGGAGUUUUUGUAUUCUCCAUCUGACUUUGUUGCUACAAUAAAAAUUAACAAUAAUUACAAAUAUUAAUUUACACUAAGCACAUUAUAUAUAAUAGUUCACUAAAUUUUCCUAGUUAACCAUCUGAGGUAGGGAUUCUUAUUGUUCCUGUUUUAGCAAAAAAGCAAAUCAAGUUAUACAGAAUUUAGGAUAGCAAGUAAUGGAUCUGGGGUUCAAAUCUGCAGAACCUGGAGAGCCAGGUUCUAACAAAACUUUAUCAUUGCAAAAUUAGUUAUCAAAACGCUGCCAAGUUUCGUUAGUUGAAAUUUAUGCCACCCCCCAAAUCCCGUGAGAUCAACAAGGAGGCAAACCUAGAAUCUAGAUAACUUUUUAAAUUUGUUUAUGGUGAAGUAGGAAUUAAUUAGGUGGUAGGACCAUGAGUAGGAGGCACCUUUUCCAAAGCCUAGCCUCAAGGAUUUGCCAGUAUACCACACAGCCAGAGCUUACUAAGAGUCCUGAGUUUUUCUUUUCCCCCACUAGUCUCUCUCUUGCGGCUUCUCUGGGAGGUCCCGACCAGAAAAAUGUCCCCACAGGCAUGAAUCAUACAGAAAGACCCAGAGAGUCCAUAAACAAAAUCAAGUCAUUUGUGCAGGGAGGGCCUCAGUCGCCCUUUUAAUUUUUAUACUGCCCCCUUGUGGGAAGUGAGGAAAUCAUGUUAAUUUCAGAGAAGUAGGAAACUGGAAACCGAGAACUUCAACUCUGGUAAAUUGAAUUUCUGGUUAUGUAAAACCCUUUAUGAUGAAAAUCCUUUAAAUAAUUAAUUUAUCAUCCUUCGUGUAUGGUAAGUACAAUAUUUUAAAUGCAACAUAAAUGUUCUUUUUUGACUCAACAGAUGUUUGUUGAUCAUCUUCCACAGACACUAUGCUAGAAACUUGGGAUUGCAGUAUCAGUCAUGGUGCCUUCUCUAAUAGAGUUUCUAGUCUAUGAGGAAGACAGACAUUAAACACAAAAAUCUAUUCAUAAUUCAACAAAUAUGUUUUAAUUAUUUAUGGUUUGCCAGACAUUAUUGCUGGGAUUGAGGAUAGACUGAGGAACAAGAAAACCAAAGCCCUUCCCUUCUCUCAUAAAGCUGACAUUCUAGUAGGGAAAGGCUCUGGAAAUGCAUCUCACAGAGUAGUGAUGAGGUUCAGAGGGGUGUGGUGGGUAGGGUUGAAUCUGUAAAGACAUUUGCCCUAGAUGUUUGCUUUUUAAAAUACAUCCAGAAUAACAGCUUCUUUGCUGAUUCUCACUUUCUUAAAAAACAGAGUGAAGAGUGUACUGACUGAGCUUUACCCAAACCCUGUAUAUGAGCUCCUGUGGAAAGAGCCCUGGAUUCCUAACCCAGAGAUCUUUUUUUUUCUGAAACUGGCUCUUCUAGUUACUUAUCAAGCACUGUAUGCCCUGGGGUCAUGCCAUGCCAUUUCUCUGGGCCUUAGAUUCCUCAACUAUAAAAGGAAGGAUUGACAAAAAUGGUUUCUAAGAUAACUGCCAGUUCUAAGAGUCUAUGAAACGGCCAGGUCAGAAAAAACCUGACGAUUCAGCUGUAACACCUGCUCUCUAGAGCAGCUUCCAGUUGUUGGUAGUGACAAUCGUUAUGUGAUUCUUCUGUUCACAACCAGAAAUCCUAGGAAAAACUUGGCUUGAGCAAUAAGGCUUUUCACUUAAGGGCUGCAGUUACCAGAGUAACAGGAUCUGGUUGGUGGAAUCCAAAGUUUGCUCUUGUUUAAUGUUCUCACCGGGUUGUAUUUUCUAAGAGAAUGAUGCUGAACAGAGUACUAUUUUUCCUCUCUGAUGAAGAAGAUCAUUCUGUUUGUCUCUUGCAUAAUUAUCACAUAUUCAUCAGUAGAUUCAUGAUACUUUCAUCUUGCAGGAUAUUAUCAUGAGUCAGAUAAUAGUCUGUUCGUAAUUGCGCUAUUUUCAUUCUGACAUACCUAAAGGGCACAAUACUAACAUUUGGUGUAUUGAGACCACAGUUUGGGACACAGACCCAGCAAACGAUUGGACACUAUUAGGAUCCUGGUCUCUAGUCUAGUGAUGCAUCAAUACACACAUAAAACAUAAUGUGUCUGAUUCACUUUCCAUGGGUCUAUUUGACUUGGAAAGUGUGCAUGUGUUCCAAGCACAGCAAUGUGGACGUAGCAUGCUGGGAAAAAGCACGAGUUUUGGAGUCAGUCAGCCCUGGAUUCGUAUUAAGUCUCUGCUCUGUAUUCUCUGUGUGCAUUUAGGCAAGUGGCUUUUCCUUGAUGAGUCUUAGUUUCCUCAUCUGUAAUUUGGGACAAGAAAAUCUACCUCACUGGGUUGUUUUAAGAAGCCUAAUUUAAGGAAAUCUUCACUGAAGUUAAAAUAGGUUAAGUUACACAUUUGGCACCUGGUAAAUAGCAAGAGUUUAAUGAAUAUCUGUUUUCUCCUUAAACAAACUCACCAUUGUAAAAAUGGCACAGAUGUAUUAUAAAGGAGCCUACGGAUGGGUAGCCUUUUGGGUUGAUUUCAACAAGAAAAAAACUCAACAACAAAGAACUCAUGGAGUAGAAUUUUGUGAAAAGAAGUUAUGGAUAGAGAGAUGCCCACUUUUGAACUGGACACUUGUGUGGAUUUAACAUCAGCCAAACACUCUUUUUUUUUUAACCCAGACAAGAUGAGUCAUGCCAAGAGCCAAGAGAGCUGGCAAGAAGAAAAUCACUGGAAUCUGAAAAAAUAGGCCUUUCCUUACCUAAUAAUAACCACUAGCUAAAUGAACUUGGACAGAAGUUUUGAUGUUUGGGGCUCUGGUUUACCAUCUCUAGAAUAAGAGUUAAACUGGCUAAUCUGCACUUCUAUAGUCCUUUUGUCCAUGAUUAUAAUAGGUGACAUGAGGAAGGAAUGGAAAUGUGGCAUCACUGUUUGGGGUUUGGGGGAUGUGUAUAAUGAUUUUAAAAACCAAACUGCAACAUGUCUUUAAACCCCUAAAUUUAUAAACUCUGUAAAGUAAACAUAUGAGUUAUUCAAUGCUGGGGAGAAUGACCUUGGAAUCUUCCAAACCCACUUCCACCUGUAUUAAGAACAUGAAGACCCUAGAAAUUAUCCUAGAAACAGUAAAUUUUAUUAAUCUGGAACUCCCCUCUCCACUUUGGAAUUUGAUUAUUUGAAUAGGUUACUUUUGCUUUGCAAAAAAGGAUUUGUUAAUGGAGUAGUAUACAUUGUUUUCAAGAGAUUUAUUUGGUAUAUAACAGGCACUCAAUAAAUAUGUAUUGCAUAAACGAUUUCUUUUGAGCAACUGCUUGUUAGCAUUGUUCUAGCGACUUAAAUUAAUUUAGAACGAUAAAUAAAGUUCUCUAAUGUGUA
Molecule: RNA transcript, 6631 nt
Organism: Leopardus geoffroyi (Geoffroy's cat)
Lineage: Eukaryota; Metazoa; Chordata; Mammalia; Carnivora; Felidae
Gene: ABCB11
Gene name: ATP binding cassette subfamily B member 11
Exons: 21
Source: RefSeq, a predicted model, not a curated record